Molecule: long non-coding RNA, 7328 nt
Filed under: Ananas comosus (pineapple)
Lineage: Eukaryota; Viridiplantae; Streptophyta; Magnoliopsida; Poales; Bromeliaceae
Description: long non-coding RNA (ACOM_LNC038166)
Source: RNAcentral
AACGAGUACUUUUUCUCAUUUUAUCGAAGAAAACGCAAAAUCUAAUUAUAUUGUUCUAUUAUGCCCAGAGAGUGUAAAUUUGGAACGAAUCGAUGUCAACGCUCACAUGAACAAAAAUCGGGACAACAUUAGACUACUCAGUUGCGCCAUAACAGUAUAACUUUGCAACGAGUGCUUUUUCUCAUUUCAUCGUAGAAAGCGCAAAUCCAAUUAUAUUGUUCUAUUAUGCCCAGAGAGUGUAAAUUUGGAACGAACCGAUGUCAACGCUCACAAGAAAAAAAAAACCGGAACAACAUUAGACUACUUAGUUGCGCCCUAACAGUAUAACUUUGCAACGAGUACUUAUUCUCAUUUUAUCGAACAAAGCGUCAAACCUAAUUAUAUUGAUUUAUUAUGCCCAGAGAGUGUAAAUUUGGAACGAAUCAAUGUCAGCGCUCACAGGAACAAAAACCGGAACAACAAUAGACUGCUUAGUUGCGCCAUAACAGUAUAACUUUGCAACGAGUGCUUUUUCUCAUUUUAUCGAAAAAGCGCAAAUUUAAUUAUAUUGUUCUAUAAUGCCCAGAGAGUGUAAAAUUUGGAACGAAUCGAUGUCAACGCUCACAAGAACAAAAACCGGAACAACAUCAGACUACUCAGUUGCGCCAUAACAGUAUAACUUUGCAACGAGUGCUUUUUCUCAUUUUAUCGAAGAAAAAGAGUAAAACAUAAUUAUAUUGUUCUAUUAUGCCCAGAGAGUGUAAAUUUGGAACGAAUCGAUGUCAACGCUCGCAAGAACAAAAACCGAAACAACUUUAGACUACUCAGUUGCGCAAUAACAGUAUAACAUUGCAACGAGUGAUUUUUCUCAUUUUAUCGAAGAAAGCGUAAAACCUAAUUAUAUUUUUCUAUUAUGACCAGAGAGUGUAAAUUUGGAACGAAUCGAUGUCAACGCUCACAAGAACAAAAAUCGGAACAACAUUAGACUACUCAGUUGCUCCAUAACAGUAUAACUUUGCAACGAGUACUUUUUCUCAUUUUAUCGAAGAAAACGCAAAAUCUAAUUAUAUUGUUCUAUUAUGCCCAGAGAGUGUAAAUUUGGAACGAAUCGAUGUCAACGCUCACAUGAACAAAAAUCGGGACAACAUUAGACUACUGAGUUGCGCCCUAACAGUAUAAAUUUGCAACGAGACCUUUUUCUCAUUUUAUCGAAGAAAGCAUCAAACCUAAUUAUAUUGUUCUAUUAUGCCCAGACAGUGUAAUUUUGGAACGAAUCGAUGUCAACGCUCACAAGAAUAAAAACCGGAACAACAUUAGACUACUCAGUCGCGCCCUAACAGUAUAACUUUGCAACGAGUACUUUUUCUCAUUUUAUCGAACAAAGCGUCAAACCUAAUUAUAUUGAUUUAUUAUGCCCAGAGAGUGUAAAUUUAGAACGAAUCGAUGUCAACGCUCACAAGAACAAAAACCGGAACAACAAUAGACUACUUAGUUGCGCCAUAACAGUAUAACUUUGCAACGAAUGCUUUUUCUCAUUUUAUCGAAAAAGCGCAAAUUUAAUUAUAUUGUUCUAUAAUGCCCAGAGAGUGUAAAAUUUGGAACGAAUCGAUGUCAACGCUCACAAGAACAAAAACCGGAACAACAUGAGACUACUCAGUUACGCCCUAACAGUAUAAAUUUGCAACGAGCACUUUUUCUCAUUUUAUCGAAGAAAGCAUUAAACCUAAUUAUAUUGUAAUAUUAUGCCCAGAGGGUGUAAAUUUGGAACGAAUCGAUGUCAACGCUCACAAGAACAAAAACCGGAACAACAUUAGACUACUCAGUUGCGCCAUAACAGUAUAAUUUUGCAACGAGUGCUUUUCUCAUUUCAUCGAAGAAAGCGCAAAUCUAAUUAUAUUGUUCUAUUAUGCCCAGAGAGUGUAAAUUUGGAACGAAAUCGAUGUCAACGCUCACAAGAACAAAAACAGGAACAACAUUAGACUACUCAGUUGCGCCCUUACAGUAUAACUUUGCAACGAGUACUUUUUCUCAUUUUAUCGAAGAAAGCGUAAAACCUAAUUGUAUUCUUCUAUUAUGCCCAGAGAGUGUAAAUUUGGAACGAAUCGAUGUCAACGUUCACAAGAACAAAAACCGGAACAACAUUAGACUACUCAGUUGCGCCCUAACAGUAUAACUUUGCGACGAGUACUUUUUCUCAUUCUAUCGAACAAAGAGUAAAACAUAAUUAUAUUGUUCUAUUAUGCCCAGAGAGUGUAAAUUUGGAACGAAUCGAUGUCAACGCUCGCAAGAACAAAAACCGAAACAACUUUAGACUACUCAGUUGCGCAAUAACAGUAUAACAUUGCAACGAGUGAUUUUUCUCAUUUUAUCGAAGAAAGCGUAAAACCUAAUUAUAUUUUUCUAUUAUGACCAGAGAGUGUAAAUUUGGAACGAAUCGAUGUCAACGCUCACAAGAACAAAAAUCGGAACAACAUUAGACUACUCAGUUGCGCCCUAACAGUAUAACUUUGCAACGAGUACUUAUUCUCAUUUUAUCGAACAAAGCGUCAAACCUAAUUAUAUUGAUUUAUUAUGCCCAGAGAGUGUAAAUUUGGAACGAAUCAAUGUCAGCGCUCACAGGAACAAAAACCGGAACAACAAUAGACUGCUUAGUUGCGCCAUAACAGUAUAACUUUGCAACGAGUGCUUUUUCUCAUUUUAUCGAAAAAGCGCAAAUUUAAUUAUAUUGUUCUAUUCUGCCCAGAGAGUGUAAAUUUGGAACGAAUCGAUGUCAACGCUCACAAGAAAAAAAACCAGAACAACAUUAGACUACUCAGUUGCGACAUAACAGUAUAACUUUGCAACGAGUACUUUUUCUCAUUUUAUCGAAGAAAACGCAAAAUCUAAUUAUAUUGUUCUAUUAUGCCCAGAGAGUGUAAAUUUGGAACGAAUCGAUGUCAACGCUCACAUGAACAAAAAUCGGGACAACAUUAGACUACUGAGUUGCGCCCUAACAGUAUAAAUUUGCAACGAGACCUUUUUCUCAUUUUAUCGAAGAAAGCAUCAAACCUAAUUAUAUUGUUCUAUUAUGCCCAGACAGUGUAAUUUUGGAACGAAUCGAUGUCAACGCUCACAAGAAUAAAAACCGGAACAACAUUAGACUACUCAGUCGCGCCCUAACAGUAUAACUUUGCAACGAGUACUUUUUCUCAUUUUAUCGAAGAAAGCGUCAAACCUAAUUAUAUUGUUCUAUAAUGCCCAGAGAGUGUAAAUUUGGAACGAAUCGAUAUCAACACUCACAAAAAUAAAAACCGGAACAACAUUUGAGUACUCAGUUGUGCCUCUAACAGGUAUAACUUUUUGCAACCAGUACUUUAUUCUCAUUUUUUUGAAGUAAGCGGCCAAAACUAAUUUAUAUUGUAUUCUAUUUAGCCCCAGAGAGCUUGUAAAUUUCUGGAACGAAUUGAUGUCAACGCUCCACAAGAACAAAAACUGGAACAAAAUUAGGCUACUUAGUUGCGCCCUAACAGUAUAACUUUGCAACGAGUGCUUUUUCACAUUUUAUCGAAGAAAGCGUCAAACCUAAUUAUAUUGCUCUAUAAUGCCCAGAGAGUGUAAAUUUGGAACGAAUCGAUAUCAACACUCACAAAAAUAAAAACCGGAACAACAUUUGAGCACUCAGUUGUGUGCCCUUAACAGGUAUAACUUUUGCAACCAGUACUUUUUCUUCAUUUUAUCGAAAGUAAUGCGUCAAAACUAAUUUAUAUUAUGUCUCUUUUACGCCCAGAAGAGAGUAAAUCUGGAACGGAAUCGAUGUCAACGCUCACAAGAACAAAAACUGGAACAAAAUUAGGCUACUUAGUUGCGCCCUAACAGUAUAACUUUGCAACGAGUGCUUUUUCACAUUUUAUCGAAGAAAGCGUCAAACCUAAUUAUAUUGCUCUAUAAUGCCCAGAGAGUGUAAAUUUGGAACGAAUCGAUAUCAACACUCACAAAAAUAAAAACCGGAACAACAUUUGAGUACUCAGUUGCGCCUUAACAGUAUAACUUUGCAACCAGUACUUUUUCUCAUUUUAUCGAAGUAAGCGUCAAACCUAAUUAUAUUAUUCUAUUAUGCCCAGAGAGUGUAAAUUUGGAACGAUUCGAUGUCAACGCUCACAAGAACAAAAACCGGAACAACAUUAGACUCUUCAGUUGCACCCUAACAGUAUAACUUUGCAACGCGUACUUUUUCUCGUUUUAUCGAAGAAAGCGUAAAAUCUAAUUAUAUUGUUGUAUUAUGCCCAGAUAGUGUAAAUUUGGAACGAAUCGAUGUCAACGCUCACAAGAACAAAAACCGGAACAACAUUAGAGCACUCAGUUCCGCCAUAACAGUAUAACUUUGCAACGAGUGCUUUUUUUCAUUUUAUCGAAGAAAGCGUAAAACCUAGUUAUAUUAUUCUAUUAUGCCCAGAGAGUGUAAAUUUGGAACGAAUCGAUUUCAACGCUCACAAGAACAAAAACCGGAACAACAUUAGACUACUCAGUUGCGCCCUAACAGUAUAACUUUGCAACGAGUACUUUUUCUCAUUUAUCGAAGAAAGCGUCAAACCUAAUUAUAUUGUUCUAUCUUGCCCAGAGAGUGUAAAUUUGGAACGAAUCGAUGUCAAAGCUCACAAGAACAAAAAUCGGAUCAAUAUUAGACUACUCAGUUGCGCCCUAACAGUAUAACUUUGCAACGAGUGCUUUUUCUCAUUUUAUCGAAGAAAGCGUAAAUCUAAUUAUAUUGUUCUAUUAUACCUAGAGAGUGUAAAAUUGGAACGAACUGAUGUGAGCGCUCACAAGAACAAAAACCGGAUCAAUAUUAGACUACUCAGUUCCGCCCUAACAGUAUAACUUUGCAACGAGUACUUUUUCUCAUUUAUCGAAGAAAGCGUCAAACCUAAUUAUAUUGUUCUAUUAUGCCCAGAGAGUGUAAAUUUGGAACGAAUCGAUUUUAAAGCUCACAAGAACAAAAACCGGAACAAUAUUAGACAACUCAGUUGCGCCCGAACAGUAUAACUUUGCAACGAGUGCUUUUUCUCAUUUUAUCGAAGAAAGCGUCAAACCUCAUUAUAUUGUUCUAUUAUGCCGAGAGAGUGUAAAUUUGGAACGAAUCGAUGUCAACGCUCACAAGAACAAAAACCGGAACAACAUUAGACUCUUCAGUUGCACCCUAACAGUAUAACUUUGCAACGCGUACUUUUUCUCGUUUUAUCGAAGAAAGCGUAAAAUCUAAUUAUAUUGUUGUAUUAUGCCCAGAUAGUGUAAAUUUGGAACGAAUCGAUGUCAACGCUCACAAGAACAAAAACCGGAACAACAUUAGAGCACUCAGUUCCGCCAUAACAGUAUAACUUUGCAACGAGUGCUUUUUUUCAUUUUAUCGAAGAAAGCGUAAAACCUAGUUAUAUUAUUCUAUUAUGCCCAGAGAGUGUAAAUUUGGAACGAAUCGAUUUCAACGCUCACAAGAACAAAAACCGGAACAACAUUAGACUACUCAGUUGCGCCCUAACAGUAUAACUUUGCAACGAGUACUUUUUCUCAUUUUAUCGAAGAAAGCGUAAAAUCUAAUUAUAUUGUUCUAUUAUUCCCAGAUAGUGUAAAUUUGGAACGAAUUGAUGUCAACGCUCACAAGAACAAAAACCGGAACAACUUUAGACUACUCAGUUGCGCCUAACAGUAUAACUUUGCAACGAGUACUUUUUCUCAUUUUAUCGAAGAAAGCGUCAAAACUAAUUAUAUUGUUCUAUUACGCCCAGAGAGUGUAAAUUUGGAACGAAUUGAUGUCAACGCUCACAAGAACAAAAACUGGAACAAAAUUAGGCUACUUAGUUGCGCCCUAACAGUAUAACUUUGCAACGAGUGCUUUUUCACAUUUUAUCGAAGAAAGCGUCAAACCUAAUUAUAUUGCUCUAUAAUGCCCAGAGAGUGUAAAUUUGGAACGAAUCGAUAUCAACACUCACAAAAAUAAAAACCGGAACAACAUUUGAGUACUCAGUUGCGCCUUAACAGUAUAACUUUGCAACCAGUACUUUUUCUCAUUUUAUCGAAGUAAGCGUCAAACCUAAUUAUAUUAUUCUAUUAUGCCCAGAGAGUGUAAAUCUGGAACGAAUCGAUGUCAACGCUCACAAGAACAAAAACCGGAACAACAUUAGACUACUCAGUUGCGCCAUAACAAUAUAACUUUGCAACGAGUACUUUUUCUUAUUUUAUCGAAGAAAGCGUAAAUCCUAAUUAUAUUAUUCUAUUAUGCCCAGAGAGAGUAAAUUUAGAACCAAUCGAUGUCAACGCUCACAAGAACAAAAAUCGGAACAACAAUAGACUACUCAGUUGCACCCUAACAGUAUAACUUUACAACGAGUGCUUUUUCUCAUUUUAUCGAAGAAGGCGUCAAACCUAAUUAUAUUGUUCUAUUAUUCCGAGAAAGUGUAAAUUUGGAACGAAUCGAUGUCAAAGCUCACAAGAACAAAAACCGGAACAAUAUUGGACUACUCAGUUGCGCCCUAACAGUAUAACUUUGCAACGAGUGCUUUUUCCCAUUUUAUCGAAGAAAGCGUAAAUGCUAAUUAUAUUGUUCUAUUAUGCCCAGAGAGUGUAAAUUUGGAACGAACCGAUGUCAGCGCUCACAAGAACAAAAACCGGAACAACAUUAGACUAAUCAGUUGCGCCCGAACAGUAUAAUUUUGCAACGAGUGAUUUUUCUCAUUUUAUCGAAGAAAGCGUCAAACCUAAUUAUAUUGUUCUAUUAUGCCCAGAGAGUGUAAAUUUGGAACGAAUCGAUGUCAACGCUCACAUGAACAAAAAUCGGGACAACAUUAGACUACUGAGUUGCGCCCUAACAGUAUAAAUUUGCAACGAGACCUUUUUCUCAUUUUAUCGAAGAAAGCAUCAAACCUAAUUAUAUUGUUCUAUUAUGCCCAGACAGUGUAAUUUUGGAACGAAUCGAUGUCAACGCUCACAAGAAUAAAAACCGGAACAACAUUAGACUACUCAGUCGCGCCCUAACAGUAUAACUUUGCAACGAGUACUUUUUCUCAUUUUAUCGAAGAAAGCGUCAAACCUAAUUAUAUUGUCUAUUAUGACCAGAGAGUGUAAAUUUGGAACGAAUCGAUGUCAACGCUCACAAGAACAAAAACCGGAAGAAAAUUAGACCACUUAGUUGCGCCCUAACAGUAUAACUUUGCAACGAGUACUUUUUCUCAUUUUAUCGAAUAAAGCGUAAAACCUAAUUAUAUUGUUCUAUUAUGCCCAGAGAGUGUAAAUUUGGAACGAAUCGAUGUCAACGCUCACAAGAACAAAAACCGGAAUAACUUUAGACUACUCAGUUGCGCCAUAACAAUAUAACUUUGCAA